RNAcentral lists this ribosomal RNA (1003 nucleotides) under uncultured bacterium. RNAcentral describes it as "bacterial SSU rRNA". It matches the Rfam family "Bacterial small subunit ribosomal RNA", at positions 505 to 1501 of the family's 1533-position model. The record is from RNAcentral.
GUGACAGCCGCCGCGGUAAUACGUAGGGGGCGAGCGUUACCCGGAAUCACUGGGCGUAAAGGGAGCGUAGGUGGCCUAACAUGUCAACUGUGAAAACCCGGAGCUCAACUCCGGACUUGCAGUUGAAACUGGUAGGCUUGAGGACGGUAGAGGAAGACGGAACUGCCAGUGUAGGGGUAAAAUCCUUAGAUAUUGGCAGGAACGCCGGUGACGAAGGUGGUUUUCUGGGCCGGUUCUGACACUGAUGCUCGAAAGCCAGGGGAGCGAACGGGAUUAGAUACCCCGGUAGUCCUGGCCCUAAACGAUGUUCACUAGGUGUGGGGAGCGGAAAGCCCUCCGUGCUAAAGCUAACGCGAUAAGUGAACCGCCUGGGGAGUACGCCCGCAAGGGUGAAACUCAAAGGAAUUGGCGGGGACCCGCACAAGCGGUGGAGCGUGUGGUUUAAUUCGAUGCUAAGCGAAGGACCUUACCAAGGUUUGACAUGCUAAUGGUAGUGAAUUGAAAGAGGAACGACCACACUAUGUGUGGAGUUAGCACAGGUGGUGCACGGCCGUCGUCAGCUCGUGUCGUGAGGUGUUGGGUUAAGUCCCGCAACGAGCGCAACCCCUGCUCUUAGUUACCAGCGGUAAGGCCGGGUACUCUAGGAGGACCGCCGCCGACGAGGCGGAGGAAGGGGGGGAUGAAGUCAGGUAUCGUGCCCCUUAUAUCUUGGGCGACACACGCGCUACAAUGGGUUGGACAGAAGGGACCAAGACAGCGAUGUGGAGGAAAUCCUCAAACCAACCCCCAGUUCAGAUUGCAGGCUGCAACCCGCCUGCAUGAAGCCGGAAUCGCUAGUAAUCGCAGAUCAGCCAAGCUGCGGUGAAUACGUUCCCGGGUCUUGUACACACCGCCCGUCAAGCCACCCGAGUUGGUAACACCUGAAGAUGAGUAUCCUAACCGAAAGGAGGGAGCUUGUUUAGGGUGGGAUUGGCAAGGGGGGCUAAGUCGUAACAAGGUAGCC